AUUGAACGCUGGCGGCAGGCCUAACACAUGCAAGUCGAACGGUAACAGGAAGUGCUUGCACAUCGCUGACGAGUGGCGGACGGGUGAGUAAUGCUUGGGAACUUGCCUUUGCGAGGGGGAUAACAGUUGGAAACGACUGCUAAUACCGCAUAAUGUUUUCGAACCAAACGGGGCUUAGGCUCCGGCGCAAAGAGAGGCCCAAGUGAGAUUAGCUAGUUGGUAAGGUAAAGGCUUACCAAGGCGACGAUCUCUAGCUGUUCUGAGAGGAAGAUCAGCCACACUGGGACUGAGACACGGCCCAGACUCCUACGGGAGGCAGCAGUGGGGAAUAUUGCACAAUGGGGGAAACCCUGAUGCAGCCAUGCCGCGUGUGUGAAGAAGGCCUUCGGGUUGUAAAAGCACUUUCAGUUUGUGAGGAAAAGUUAGUAGUUAAUACCUGCUAGCCGUACGUUAACAACAGAAGAAGCAC
Molecule: ribosomal RNA, 469 nt
Filed under: uncultured bacterium
Lineage: Bacteria
Description: bacterial SSU rRNA
Rfam family: Bacterial small subunit ribosomal RNA
Source: RNAcentral